Jaculus jaculus (lesser Egyptian jerboa) is the source of this 70-nucleotide small nucleolar RNA. Its record names the gene SNORD63. It matches the Rfam family "Small nucleolar RNA SNORD63". From Rfam's summary of the family: snoRNA U63 is found in both humans and mice. U63 is a member of the C/D class of snoRNA which contain C (UGAUGA) and D (CUGA) box motifs. NCBI's taxonomy places the organism in Eukaryota, Metazoa, Chordata, Mammalia, Rodentia, Dipodidae. The record is from Ensembl.
GUGCAGUGAUGUUUUUGUCAACACAUCAUUCUGAAUGAAAGUAUGUGGUGACUUCUUAUGACUGAGCACA